Molecule: ribosomal RNA, 253 nt
Filed under: uncultured bacterium
Lineage: Bacteria
Description: partial 16S ribosomal RNA
Rfam family: Bacterial small subunit ribosomal RNA
Source: RNAcentral
UACGUAGGUGACAAGCGUUGUCCGGAUUUACUGGGCGUAAAGAGCGCGCAGGCGGUCGUUCAAGUCGAGUGUGAAAGCCCCCGGCUCAACUGGGGAGGGUCACGCGAUACUGCUCGACUCGAAGGCAGGAGAGGGAAGUGGAAUUCCCGGUGUAGUGGUGAAAUGCGUAGAUAUCGGCAGGAACACCAGUGGCGAAGGCGGCCACCUAGCCCGCACCUGACGCUGAGGCGCGAAAGCGUGGGGAGCAAACAGG